This 1281-nucleotide long non-coding RNA is filed under the name Helianthus annuus (common sunflower). Lineage: Eukaryota; Viridiplantae; Streptophyta; Magnoliopsida; Asterales; Asteraceae. The record is from RNAcentral.
ACACCCUCCUCACCGAAUUGUCCACCCACCACCGAUUUGGUAAAGUUUGAGUGGUAAACUAUUGUUGAUGGUGGUGUUUACCGAGUGGCAAACUCUUUUGCCGACCUUUGCCGACUCCCACUCCUAACACCCUUACCACUGUCGGCCAAUCAACUUAUCCACCAUCACUCGCAAACACUGACCACCUCUUUGUUAUACCACUGCUGAUCACUGUGACACCUUCUUUCAUCACCACCGUCGACCAUUGUCGACGAGCUCGUUUAACCACCGUCGAUUUUUGCUGUGCCGGGUGUCAUAGGAUCACCGUCAACCUCCGAUUACCCCAUUGUUAAUCACCGUCGGCCGACCACCCUUCACCACAUCCAUCUCCGACCACCUGUACCGCCGGCUGAUAACCAAUCACCUCCUUUCUCUCCUCCGUCCGAUCCCCACCACAAUCACAACAUCACUUACCUGUUUCCGAUUAAACAUUACCCACCUGUCAACGACCACCGACUCCCGUGAACCCAUCAUCUUCUUCUCCGCCAACGACCACCGUCCUUUUCCCGCAUAUUCACCGACAACCACAUCCACCGUGACUUCUGAUCACCGUCGCCCCCAUAUCCACCAUCGAUGGACAGCUACCGACGACUACCCAUAUACAUCACCUCUGGCAUGUAAGUUGAAGAGUGAAUCCAGGUUUCGAUCAGUUUUGUCCAUACUCAAUCUCCGUUUGGACGAAAGUGGUUCAAACGAUUUCCAGACAAGUGUCCCGUGUUGAAGCAGCCACGAACGAAAUGCUAUACGGUUGCGGUGGAACGAGGCUCACAUGGAUUCAACCGCGUCAAAUCAGGGGAGAAGGAAGGGGCAUAUUUUGAAUUUAAGGGCCAUAAGGUUAAUAAUAUGUUGGGCUUUGGCAAAGUCAAUUGGGCAAUUGGGAAGCAAGUGCACGUGGGCUCCUUUAUAGCACUUCGCAGUUAAAGUCGGUGAAUAAAAGGUUUUGAUGGCAGAAUAAAAAGAGUCACAGCCGUCGCACAAGAACCCCGAGGACGAAUUUGAAGGUCAUUAUUCAUCUUCCAAGCCAAUCCAUGAAGUCUAACCUAAUCGGGAUGACAACCGAAAUGGCAAAGACAACCAUGAGUGGCUAAGCCUCUCCUGACUUCUACCCGGAUGAACUUUUGCUUUGUUUUGCAUUAAACUUUGUUUACGGAUUCGUGUAACUGGUACAGCUUGACCACUUGUGCUGGAUUAUUGGUAAACGUUUCUUGUUGAAUUACUUGUCGUUUAUUAAGCGUAUUGGCA